Molecule: ribosomal RNA, 253 nt
Filed under: uncultured bacterium
Lineage: Bacteria
Description: partial 16S ribosomal RNA
Rfam family: Bacterial small subunit ribosomal RNA
Source: RNAcentral
UACAGAGGGUGCAAGCGUUAAUCGGAUUUAUUGGGUUUAAAGGGUCCGUAGGCGGAUCUGUAAGUCAGUGGUGAAAUCUCACAGCUUAACUGUGAAACUGCCAUUGAUACUGCAGGUCUUGAGUAAAUUUGAAGUGGCUGGAAUAAGUAGUGUAGCGGUGAAAUGCAUAGAUAUUACUUAGAACACCAAUUGCGAAGGCAGGUCACUAAGAUUUAACUGACGCUGAUGGACGAAAGCGUGGGGAGCGAACAGG